Molecule: ribosomal RNA, 433 nt
Filed under: uncultured bacterium
Lineage: Bacteria
Description: partial 16S ribosomal RNA
Rfam family: Bacterial small subunit ribosomal RNA
Source: RNAcentral
GACGAACGCUGGCGGCAUGCCUAACACAUGCCAGUCGAACGAGACCUUCGGGUCUAGUGGCGCACGGGUGCGUAACGCGUGGGAACCUGCCCUUAGGUUCGGAAUAACUCCCCGAAAGGGGUGCUAAUACCGGAUAAUGUCUUCGGACCAAAGAUUUAUCGCCUUUGGAUGGGCCCGCGUUGGAUUAGCUAGUUGGUAGGGUAAAAGCCUACCAAGGCGACGAUCCAUAGCUGGUCUGAGAGGAUGAUCAGCCACACUGGGACUGAGACACGGCCCAGACUCCUACGGGAGGCAGCAGUGGGGAAUAUUGGACAAUGGGCGAAAGCCUGAUCCAGCAAUGCCGCGUGAGUGAUGAAGGCCUUAGGGUUGUAAAGCUCUUUUACCCGGGAUGAUAAUGACAGUACCGGGAGAAUAAGCUCCGGCUAACUCCGUG